Long non-coding RNA from Scomber japonicus (chub mackerel), 624 nucleotides. RefSeq lists it as uncharacterized. NCBI's taxonomy places the organism in Eukaryota, Metazoa, Chordata, Actinopteri, Scombriformes, Scombridae. The transcript has 4 exons. The record is from RefSeq and is a predicted model, not a curated record.
AGUGACCGCUCCAGGGAUUCACCUCCACUUUUUAAAGAUCAAUCCAUUGGGAGAACCAACACAACCCUGGUAAGGAUCUACACAACCCUGAAAAAUGUGUUCUUUCGACGUGAGGUUGUAGGACUCGUCAUCCUAGUGGUAGUGAUACUCUCUGUCUGCAUUUAUUUUAAAAUCAAAGAAUUACAUGCACAGCUAGAACGGGAACGGGAAACUCGAGCUCGGGCAGAGUUCAUGUCUUACAUAUUAUCGUGUUUGUUAGCGAUAGCGUUAAUGUAGGUAGUUUUGUCCAGACUUUGCAAAGACGCUAAAAAAGAUACUGAUAUGACAUUAAUCUUGACUGGGCUAGUCUUUGUACCUGUCAGUUAAAGGCAUUAUUUUUUUUAGUUUUUUUUAGUUUUUGUCAACAAAUUCCAUUUAAAGAGACAAAAAAACAAAAUUUGGUUUGUCUCAGUAUUAUCCUACAUAUGUAAACAUGUUUUCAGGCCUAUACAACUUCACAGAAGCAGUAGCCUAUAUGUCCUGCAUUGUUCACCUUGUUUCCCCUUUCUCUUUCCCUCUGAAUGAAUACUUGCUCACUAUGGAUGCCACAUUUAUCUUGAUUAAAGAAUUACACGGAUGACACCA